UCGCCGCCGGGGUGUGGAUGAUCGCCGUGGUCUGGCAGAUCAUCGAGAUGGGCGGCGGGCCCGGCGAGCUGUCGUUCGUCUCGGCAGCGGCGGC
Molecule: transfer RNA, 94 nt
Filed under: Plantactinospora endophytica
Lineage: Bacteria; Bacillati; Actinomycetota; Actinomycetes; Micromonosporales; Micromonosporaceae
Description: tRNA-Ala
Source: RNAcentral